This 307-nucleotide long non-coding RNA is filed under the name Hordeum vulgare. RNAcentral describes it as "long non-coding RNA (HVUL_LNC021347)". The record is from RNAcentral. Lineage: Eukaryota; Viridiplantae; Streptophyta; Magnoliopsida; Poales; Poaceae.
AUUGCAUCAAUGCUAUCAAAAAACUUCAUCGAUUCGUAUUGGGAGCUUUGAAUGCCCUAUUCCUUGUGUCAAGAUGAAGUAUGAUUUUCUUGUUGGGGAGAUACACAUCCCCAUGGAGGUGACCUAGUGACUAUUCAAAAAUUCUCCGUUCUCUUUUGCGAUUCGAAAAGGUUUGUCGUGGAGACUUGAUCAACCUCACUCACGGAUUUCUUUAGAUGACCAUGAGAUGGAUCAAUCGACGAGUCACAAACCUCUAUUCCAAGCUUUCACCUUCGGUUGCUUAGAAGAAAAAUGAUAGAUUUAGUUU